Podarcis lilfordi (Lilford's wall lizard) is the source of this 77-nucleotide non-coding RNA. Lineage: Eukaryota; Metazoa; Chordata; Lepidosauria; Squamata; Lacertidae. The record is from the annotation of a GenBank genome assembly.
GCCACAGCUUGGUGGUAGAGCAUCUGCCUUGCACGCAGAAGGUUGCAGGUUCAAUCCCCAGCAUCUUCAGUUAGGUA